RNAcentral lists this ribosomal RNA (408 nucleotides) under uncultured bacterium. RNAcentral describes it as "partial 16S ribosomal RNA". It matches the Rfam family "Bacterial small subunit ribosomal RNA", at positions 28 to 526 of the family's 1533-position model. The record is from RNAcentral.
GACGAACGCUGGCGGCGUGCUUAACACAUGCAAGUCGAACGAAGUGGCGAACGGGUGUGUAACGUGUAAUCAACCUGCCCUUCAGUGGGGGACAACAGUUGGAAACGACUGCUAAUACCGCAUACUGAAGAUGGGGUUGUCGUCUGAUUAGUUCGUUGGGGGGGUAACGGCCCACCACGGCGAGGAUCAGGAGCCGGUCUGGGAGGAUGAACGGCCACAUUGGGACCGAGACACGGGCCAGACUCCUACGGGAGGCAGCAGUGGGGAAUCUUCCGCAAUGGACGAAAGUCUGGCGGAGCAACGCCGCGGGAGUGAUGACGGCCUUCGGGUUGUAAAGCUCUGUUAAUCGGGACGCGGUACCGGAAUAGAAAGCCACGGCUAACUACGUGCCAGCAGCCGCGGUAAUUC